UAGUUUUGCCACCUUAAAUUAUCAUACAUAAUAAACAUUUAAAACAAUUUUGGCAUG
Molecule: non-coding RNA, 57 nt
Filed under: unclassified sequences
Description: S15-Flavobacteria ribosomal protein leader
Rfam family: S15-Flavobacteria ribosomal protein leader
Source: RNAcentral